RNAcentral lists this long non-coding RNA (1521 nucleotides) under Sarcophilus harrisii (Tasmanian devil). RNAcentral's name for it is "lncRNA (ENSSHAG00000026863.1)". Lineage: Eukaryota; Metazoa; Chordata; Mammalia; Dasyuromorphia; Dasyuridae. The record is from RNAcentral.
AUGUGUUCGUGCAUGCGUGAGUUUGCCCCGGGAACGAGGGAAGGCGGAGGAACAGAACAGCAUCAGAAUGUUGGCUGGCCCGUAAAGCGUUUUCUCCCUGGGCUCUGGCUCAACCUCUGCAUAAAAGCCCAGGGAGAAGGAGGUGGAGAUUCCCCGAGUACAGAGGGAGGGCUUCCUGCGCCUCUGACAGGGGUGCGCUUCUGUAUUAGGGACUGGGAGCCUGAUCGGGAAGGCUGGGAAAUCAUGCUCUUCAUCUGGGCUCUGCAUUUGGCGUUAGUGCUCCAGGGAGGCUUCUCUGUCAUCUCUUGUAGAGAGAUAUGGACUGGACCAAGAACUUCACUGGAUAAGAAACUCCUAGGUGAGGAAACUCCCUUUCCCAAUGGAGGUUGGCCUGUAAUUUAUGGACUCAGAAUUGCCUAGAGCACUAAGAAAGUGAAUGUCUUGCUAAGGGACUCAGUCAAUAUGUGUCAGAGGGGAGAUUCAGAACCAAGACUUUUUAGACUAUUCCACACUACAUCUCUACAUCUGUUGCAACAAAGAAGAAAAAGGAAAGAAAAAAAGAGUUCAUCAAAAUUGACCAACAUAUCCAAAAGGGAUUAAUAAUGUCCCAUAUCUAUAGUUCCCAACCUCUGCAUAGAAAGAAGGAAGGAGAGAGGGGGUAUUUUUUGACUCUCUUCUUCAACCUCAAACUUGGUUCUUCUAAUUAUACAAUAUAAAUUUAAAUAACCUAAUUACAAUGUCUUAAAAAUGACAGAGGUUCCCCCCACCUUGACCCUCUCAUUUACAUGGUAUAUGUUAUAUUUCUGGUUCUAUUGAUUUCAUUCUUUAUCAGUUCAUAUAAAUUAUCUCAUGCUUCCUUGAAUUCUUCCUAUUUCUAAUGGAGCAAUAUUAUUUCAUAAUCUUCACAUAUUUAGCCAUUUCUCACUGGUAGGUGAUUACCUUGCUUUCAUUUUCUUGGCUACCACAAAAAAAAGUACUUUUCAUAUUUAUAAAGAGCUUGCCUUUCCAUAGCUCUGUGAGGUAAGUUGUGUAAAUGUAACUAUCCCCAUUUUAGAGAUGAUCAAAUAGAGUCACAGAGAGAUUAAGUGACUAAUCUAGGGUACUUAGUAAACAUUAGAGCUGAGGUCUGAGCUCAGAACUCCUAGUUCUAAAUCUGGCACCCUUUCCAGGCUACCCAACUUCCAAAUGAUGAUUUCAUUUGUGGAGUAGCCAGUGGUUACAGACCUGGAGAUUUCAGAGGCGGUCAUCCUCACCCCUCAUGGGCUCUCACAAUUUUGAUUCUGUUGGGAAGCAAUUGAGCUAGAAUACAGAUACACGCAUAUAUUGUACAUGUACACAUAUAUAGUGCAUGCACACACUUACAAUAUGCAUAUAUAUGAAUGCAAGUAUGCUAAAUGUAAACACAAAAUAUAUAACAUUCAAAAUAUAUCAAUAUAAAUAUGUAAAAUAUAUAAUAUAUUCAAAUACAAAAGAGAUACUUUGAAAAAAGUAUAUUGUAGAUUUUAAAAAGCAAUAUAAAUG